CACCCUUCCAAUCCAAGCCCAAGGAAGGUUCUAAACCAAUCAAUCUAGCCUCAAAAGCCCUAGAUCAAAAAGACCCAAAAUCAACCCUAAACCUCAUUCUAGGGUUCCAACACAAAGAAAGCCUCAAAUCCAAAGUCUAAAUGGAGAGAAAAGGCUACCAACCUCUAAGAAGCUUCAAUCCAAGCUCAAAGGGUGAAGAUCUCCUCUUGGCAAGCUCCAAGUGCAAGCCUUCAAGCACCAACAAGGUGGGAAGAGGAAAAGAGGCAAAGAAAUGCUCCAAGUCCACCAAAACCUUCUCCUUCUUCUUCUUCUCCUCCUUCUUCUUCUCUUUCUCCUCUCUCUAACGAGGGUGUGGGG
RNAcentral lists this long non-coding RNA (357 nucleotides) under Ananas comosus (pineapple). Its description in RNAcentral is "long non-coding RNA (ACOM_LNC003695)". Lineage: Eukaryota; Viridiplantae; Streptophyta; Magnoliopsida; Poales; Bromeliaceae. The record is from RNAcentral.